Molecule: transfer RNA, 87 nt
Filed under: Candidatus Margulisiibacteriota bacterium
Lineage: Bacteria; Bacillati; Candidatus Margulisiibacteriota
Description: tRNA-Ser
Rfam family: tRNA
About the family: Transfer RNA (tRNA) molecules are approximately 80 nucleotides in length.
Source: RNAcentral
GGAGGGGUGUCCGAGUGGUUUAAGGAGCACGCUUGGAAAGCGUGUAUGCGGGCAACCGUAUCGAGAGUUCGAAUCUCUCCCCCUCCG